CCUAAAUUCUCAUAUCGCCGAUUCCCACAUGGCACUCCGAUCAAAUCCCUCCGCCUAUAAGUCAGUCUCCAUCGUCGACAUACUCGCCGAUUCACCAAAACCCUAGCUUUGUUCCAAUCCUCUUCCCUCUGAAAUAAACCCGAUUUUCGAUUCGGUGUUCUCAGAUCUCGGCUUUUUUUUUUUCUAGAUGGAUGGAGGAGGACGACGAGAUGCAUUCACCGGUGUCGGCGGGGAGCGGAUCCCCGGCGUCGCCUAGAGUGAACGGUCGGAUAACGGCGC
RNAcentral lists this long non-coding RNA (279 nucleotides) under Rosa chinensis. RNAcentral's name for it is "sRNA RchiOBHm_Chr7g0183961". The record is from RNAcentral. Lineage: Eukaryota; Viridiplantae; Streptophyta; Magnoliopsida; Rosales; Rosaceae.